GUGAGGGACGGCUCUCCAGGGCUUCAACGGGUAACUAAUCUGAGAGGACGAAUACCCACGCUGGAACUGUGGACCGGUCCAGACUCCUACGGGAGGUGCCCCCGGGGAAUCUUGUCCUCUGGGCGAAAGCCUGAUGCAACGACCCCCCUCGCCGGAUGAGUGCCCCAUGAUCGUAGCCCCCUUUCACUAUGGACCAAAAUGACCCCACCUACCUAACAAACCCCGGCCAACUACGUGCCAACAGCCGCGGUGAGACGUAGGGGGCGAGCGUUGUCCGGAUUUAUUGGGCGUAAAGGGCUCGUCUUUGGUUGCGUAAAUUCCAUGUGAAAACUCAGGGCUUAACCCUGAGACGCCAUCCGAUACUGCGCUGACUUGAAUCUUCUUCAGGAGUGUGGAAUUCCUGGUGUACUGCUGAAAUGCGCAUAUAUCACGAGGAACUCCUACCCCGAAGGCACCACUCUGGGCCGGUACUGACACUGUUGAGCGAAAUUCCCUACUGCUGCCACGAUUAGAUACCCUGGUAGUCCCCCCCGCACACGGUGGGUGAUAGGUGUGGCGACUUUCCUCGGCCUCUGCGCCUAGGCUAACGCAUUACUUG
This 598-nucleotide ribosomal RNA is filed under the name uncultured Actinomycetes bacterium. RNAcentral describes it as "bacterial SSU rRNA". It matches the Rfam family "Bacterial small subunit ribosomal RNA", at positions 252 to 866 of the family's 1533-position model. The record is from RNAcentral. Lineage: Bacteria; Bacillati; Actinomycetota; Actinomycetes.